CUUGACGACCAUAGAGCGUUGGAACCACCUGAUCCCAUCCCGAACUCAGCAGUGAAACGAUGCAUCGCCGAUGGUAGUGUGGGGUUUCCCCAUGCGAGAGUAGGUCAUCGUCAAGA
This 116-nucleotide ribosomal RNA is filed under the name Pseudomonas sp. P42. Lineage: Bacteria; Pseudomonadati; Pseudomonadota; Gammaproteobacteria; Pseudomonadales; Pseudomonadaceae. The record is from RNAcentral.